Acinonyx jubatus (cheetah) is the source of this 5299-nucleotide long non-coding RNA. RefSeq lists it as uncharacterized. The record is from RefSeq and is a predicted model, not a curated record. Lineage: Eukaryota; Metazoa; Chordata; Mammalia; Carnivora; Felidae. The transcript is spliced from 3 exons.
UGGAUAAACAGGAAAGGAAUACUCCACUAGAGAGAGAGAGUCAUGUCUGCAAGGAAGCCGGAAAAGUACACGAAUGGUAAAGGAACAAGAGAGGUUAAUUUGAAUAUAAUACUUGGGGAAGAAACAGUAGUGUGUCUACUGAUAAUAAGCCUGAGCGAACAAUCAACUGCAAGCCUCCCCUGCCUACCUUUCUUAUCUUCUCAUGACCCUGGUUAGUAUGUUCAGAAAUUCAAGGACAGGGUUGGGUAAUGGAAGGAUAUAAUCAGGAUAAAAGUGAGUUCUUUGUCCUUUUUGGCUUCCAGUCCCUCAGCGUGGGUCAUGCCAACCCACUCCUGUCCUGGGUGUGACCCAUCCAGAACACUCUGUGCCGCUGGAUGUGAUGCAAUACGAACACUGCACAAGGCGGCUGCCUCUCUUGUAAAAACGUAGCAUAUGGUCAGCUACACAGCACUGCAAAAAAAAUGUCAUGAAUAAAAGAAUUGCAUGGCACUCCCGGAGCUAAGGAGCAUGCAUGCUCCAGGAGUGUAGAGGACUCAAAUCAUGAAAGGCCUUUAAGGUGUUGGCAAAUGGGGAAGGACAAAAGGCUUUCAAAACAGAGGGGCAACAAGAUCAGAACUCUUAUUUGGAGUAGUAACUCCAACAGCAUUGGUUGGAAGAGGAAAUAUUUUAGAAGCUCAGUGAAGUGACUAUUUCAAGUAGUCUAGGUGACUAGAGCAGAAACUACAGCUGUACUGAAGGAGAGUGACAAUAGGUCAGCAUCCUGCGAUCACGUUGCACUGUUGCUUUAUGCUUGUAUUUGAUGGCACAAUUGUUUACAACCCUUCUCUUUCUUCUCUGCCUUAUCAUUAGUGUUACUUUAGAAUAAUGAAGCCUGUUCCAUCCAUUAACUUCACUAACAUUUGAUCUCCCCACGGGUUGAGGUUAAAAAUUAAUUACUCUUCCAACAUAUUGAUUACAUGACUAUAAAUAUAAAAACAGAACUACAGAGCAACUACCGGGACCUUUGUUUAAAUAGCAUGUUUGCUCUUUUUAAAGGAGGGAAUUAAUGUUGAAGGACCUUGGACCUGGAGGAACAUACAAGAAAAGCAACGCUAGAGUGCCAUCUAGUGUCGACAACAUUUUUUAAUGCAGCAUAUCAAAGAAAGGAUGUGUAGAUGCUGCUGUGAUUAAUUAAACAUGUUUACGUGGAUAGGAAGAGGAUGGAGGAGACAUCCAAUCUAUGCAAAGUCCCACCCUCAGCACCUUGCCUCAGGUCUCCUGAUUUUGACCUCCAGCUCCUCUCCCAAAUGAGUUCCCUUCUAUCUGAGUGUGAAUUAGCUCUCCUCACUUGCCAACUUCCACUGCCCCAGCAUCCACACAAAGGUUAACUUCUAUCUGCUCAAAGCCUGAACAUGUGACCACCAGCAUGCUGGUGCUCUAGAAGCUAAAGGAACAGUGCAGUGGAAUAAACACUUACUGGCACCCGUUCUCCUCCCCAACCUGGGCCCAGUCAAUGGCAUCACAUCCCACCAGGGCCUGUGCCCUGAGCUGUGACCAGGUGACCAGUGGCAAACAGAACUGUGGUGCAAGGCAUCACCAGAAUCAACGCAGGAGAUCAGGGACAGCAAAGAGCAGCUUCCGCUUAACCACCUGAACAAGAAAGUAAAACGGAAACAUCUGCUCUCCCACUGUGUCCUAGACCAAAGGAGGGGGAUUGCUGCUAGCUCUUAGGUUACAGUAAGUUUUCAUUUAAGUUUUCUUCAUAUUAAGGACAUGGUUACGUUGUUUUUAAAUGUCAGAAAACUCUAAACCAAAAGUACCCUCCAGUACUUCCUUUACUAUGUGCUUUCUUUACUACGAUCAGCAAUCAGUUCAGUUUUAUUGUUUUAGUUCAUAUAUCGAGUGAGGGUCACAUCAUCCUUUGACAGCCUGAACCCAGGGCUCUGUAUGAAUAUAACUUCCUUAAUCAGUUGCAGAUGGAGAAGUUUAGUUGACUAGUUACAUAGAGAAAGAGGCCAUGAGAGAGCCCUGGCAUUCUUACUAAUGUUUGCAGCAGCUAGGGGAAGAAAAUGAAUAGAAAAAUCCUGGGUUUCAAUGUCCAACUCUCCUUGGAUUGGGAUGUCCAUUGGACUCUCUCCAUUUCACCAAGCACAUUGGUUACUUCUUGUGGGAGAGAACCCCGGAGAGAGCAGAAAUGAGAGGAUGGAGAAAGGAAGUGGAGAUAAUGCUCCAGAACAGUUCCUUCCAGAGAUUGGAGGCUAAUCUCCCCCAGAGAAACAGGAGGGAGAGAGAACAAGGUUCCCCCUGAAUGUUCUCUUUACUAACAGCUUUGCAAACUGUUUACAGACAGAAGAUACAAAUACUUAAACAAUUGAGAAACACUAAUAGAGCAAAAUAGUCUGAGAAAGACAGUGUCAUUGGGAGUCGUAUAGGGGGAAGAAUUUCAUAGAGAAAAUAGAAUUUGAGAUGACCUGGGAAAGACGGAGUAAGUUCAUCAAAUAUGAGGGUUUAUCAAGCACCAUCACGUAAGGCAGUGGGUGCUGGGCUCUAUAAACAGAGAUAAGUAAGUCACCAUCUCUAAGUUCCGGAAGCUCAUGGCCUGAGUCAGUGGCUUGCAAAAGUAGCUGUGCAUUAGAAUCAUCUGAGGAGAUUUUUAAAAAUACAUAUAAUCUUGAUUUAAUUUAUCUGGAGUAGAUUCUGGGUAUCAUUAUCUUUUUAAACCUCAGGUAUAGGCAAAGAGUUCAUAAAGAAGACAAAAAAAAUAACCAUAAAAAAUUUGGACUUCAAUGAAGUCAAGAUUUUACAAUCAUUAAAGAGUAAAAUACAAACCACAGACUGGGUGAAGAUAUAUAUUAGCAAUGAAUAUAUUCAAGAACUGGAAACAAUACAAAUGUCCCUCAAUAAGAGAAUAGGUAAAUAAAUUGUGGUACACUGAUACAAUACUACACACAAUAAAAGAGAAACUACCUACACACAGAACAAAAUGGGUGAAUCUCAAAUUUUACUGAGUGGAAGAAGCCAGAGACAGAAGAGUAUAUAUUGAAUAAUUAUUAAAAUUUCAACAGGUAAAUCUAAUCAUGGCAAUCCAAGUUAUCUUUUGAUGACUUGACUGAGAAGGAGCACAGCAGAACUUUCUAGGGACUUAGAGAUGUGGUGUGUGUGUGUGUGUGUGUGUGUGUGUGUGUGUGUGUGUGUUAAUCCUGAUCUGGGUUGGUAGUUACAAAGAGUAUGUGCAAGGGCAAUUCUCAGAGAGGAAUACAGUUGUGAACCAUCAGCAACCAACAUCCCCAGCAUCUGGGGGAAAUAAAGGUCUUAAUCCUGGGAGAAAGAUUUGGGCAAAGCAUCACAGCAGCCCACUACACCAUGUGAUUCUAAUGUGGACCCAGGACUGAGAGCUAUUGGUCUAAGUCAGUGAUUCUCAAAGCAUGGUCCCUGAUUGGCAGCAUCAGCAUCACCUGUGUACUUGUGAGAAAUGCAAAUUAGUGACUUCUUCUGAAGCAGAAACUAUGGGGAUAGAGACUAGUGAUCUGUGUUUUAACAAGACCUCCAGGUAAUUCUGAGAAGCACUAAAAUGUGAGAAUGACUGGUCUAAGAGGUUUCACUGGAGAGUACAGAAGGGCUUUCAGAGAAAUGGAAGAAAACAUAACAAUGUCACAAAGCAAGUCAGGUAUAACAUGAACAGAGUGUAGCUUGGAGAAAGGUGAUGAGAAACUUGUUUAGCAAGUAGAACUAGUUAUUAGGGGAUUUUAUUUAAAAUUUUUCUCUCUUAAUCCAAUAGAUUGUAAGAAAACAUUGUAGAUUCCUAGUAACCUGGCGGAGGAGCAAGGUAAAAUAGGGGGAAGAGAGACAAUGUGCAGUGAAGAUUCCAAGAAGAGGUAAUUGAAAUCAUCUAUGCAUAAAGUAAGGAGGACAAAAAGUGCAGUCACUAACAGUAAAAAAUGGGAAGGAAGAGAUGACACUGAGGGACUCAAGGAUAGUUGGCAACAGAAUUUGAAUUUCCAAUGGAAUGAGGAAGCAAAGGUUACUACAAGAUUUUGAGAUUUGCAUCACUAGCACAGUACCAAUCACUGACACAGCUGGGGAAGUCAGAAGAGAAAGUGGAAGGAAAUAUGAAUUUUGUUUUUUAUUUUGGAGAGUGUGAUAUUGUGAUUUAUAAUAAGAAAGAUAUAUUUGGGCUUCAUCCCUGUUCGAGGCACAGAGCUCCUAAUACCCUUGGAAUUCCCUAAAAGAGCAAUAAAGGUUGUUGUAGACUCUGGGUCUGGAGUUCUCUCUUGUCCAGCAAGAGAGCAGACACAGGAUUGAAAGGCAAGAGAGGCUAAUGUCUGGGAGGAGACAAGAGCCCCGAGUAAGCGUCCUUGCUCCAUUUUUAUUAGGAUCAGAAGACUUACAAGAGUGAUCGACCUGCACAAAGAGACAACGAAACUGUGAACAUUAACUCAUGGGCAUGGGAGAAAGGGGUUUUGAAGAUAUGCAGUAUAAGGGGUUUGGGUCAAUACAAAACAAAAUUCUGGUGCUGGGCAGAAGGUUGUUUACAGAAGACUUGAGGCGCAACCUCUGUUUACCUAAACUGGCCAGGGGACAAAAAAGACAGAGCAUGCUACCUCUGGGUCAACAAGGCCCCUUUCUUUUGCUAAUUAGCUCUACUCCUAGCAACUUCACCCUGCUGUGGUCCAUAGCCCUAUUUACCUAUUUACCUAUUUUAGUCCUUCCAUCCUGUGCAAGCAGCUUUGUGCUAUUGUACUAAGUUGGGGGGGGGGGGGAGGCAUUUCUGCCCUGAACACCUAAUCUUGUUUACCUCAUUUUUGAUGCUUUCAUCCUGAGGCGUUUCUAUUCCUAUAUCUUUGUCCUAUACGGGGGCCUUUGUCCUGUUUACCCAAUCUUGUUUGCCCAAACUUGGGUGUGUUCAUCCUGUGGCUUUCUAAUUAUUUAUGCCUUGUAAACCCAUGGGUGCAAGCUCAGGGUAUUCCUAAGCUUAUUCCCCACAAAAGGUGUUUUCUGUUCCAUUACUGAGGUGACUUUUGGAAAGCCCCUAGGUAACCAUAAGACUAGGGCUUAUUCCCAGGGUAACCACCCUUGCAACUGGAGGGUUGGAACUUUCAACCCCAUCCCUAAGGAGGGGAGAGGGGCUGGAGACAGAGCACAAUCACCAAUGGUUGGUGAUUUAAUCAAUCAUGCCUAAGUAUUGAAACCUCCAUAAAAACCCAAAAGGACAAGGUUCAAAGAACUUAAAGGUUGGUGAACCGGAACACAAUCACCAGUACUGUGCCAGGGCUCUAAACUCCACAGAGACAGAAGUUCCUUCGUUCAGGACCACACCCUA